Molecule: ribosomal RNA, 988 nt
Filed under: Octosporella perforata
Lineage: Eukaryota; Fungi; Ascomycota; Pezizomycetes; Pezizales; Pyronemataceae
Description: SSU rRNA
Rfam family: Eukaryotic small subunit ribosomal RNA
Source: RNAcentral
CUGCGAAUGGCUCAUUAAAUCAGUUAUCGUUUAUUUGAUAGUACCUUACUACUUGGAUAACCGUGGUAAUUCUAGAGCUAAUACAUGCUAAAAAUCCCGACCUCUGGAAGGGAUGUAUUUAUUAGAUAAAAAACCAAUGCCCCUCGGGGCUUCCUGGUGAUUCAUGAUAACUUUACGAAUCGCAUGGCCUUGCGCCGGCGAUGGUUCAUUCAAAUUUCUGCCCUAUCAACUUUCGAUGGUAGGAUAGUGGCCUACCAUGGUUUCAACGGGUAACGGGGAAUUAGGGUUCGAUUCCGGAGAGGGAGCCUGAGAAACGGCUACCACAUCCAAGGAAGGCAGCAGGCGCGCAAAUUACCCAAUCCCGACACGGGGAGGUAGUGACAAUAAAUACUGAUACAGGGUCCUUUCGGGUCUUGUAAUUGGAAUGAGUACAAUUUAAAUCCUUUAACGAGGAACAAUUGGAGGGCAAGUCUGGUGCCAGCAGCCGCGGUAAUUCCAGCUCCAAUAGCGUAUAUUAAAGUUGUUGCAGUUAAAAAGCUCGUAGUUGAACUUUGGGUUUGGGUGACCGGUCUGCGUCUACCGCAUGUACUGGAAACCCGGAUCUUUCCUUCUGGAGAACCCGCAUGCCCUUUACUGGGUGUGCAGGGGAACCAGGACUUUUACUUUGAAAAAAUUAGAGUGUUCAAAGCAGGCAUUUGCUCGAAUACAUUAGCAUGGAAUAAUAAAAUAGGACGUGCGGUUCUAUUUUGUUGGUUUCUAGGACCGCCGUAAUGAUUAAUAGGGAUAGUCGGGGGCAUCCGUAUUCGAUUGUCAGAGGUGAAAUUCUUGGAUUUUUCGAAGACGAACUACUGCGAAAGCAUUUGCCAAGGAUGUUUUCAUUAAUCAGGAACGAAAGUUGAGGGAUCGAAGACGAUCAGAUACCGUCGUAGUCUCAACCAUAAACUAUGCCGACUAGGGAUCGGGCGAUGUUUUCUAUUUGACUCGCUCG